GCACCUGGUGGCGAGUGGCGAACGGGUGAGUAAUACAUCGGAACAUGUCCUGUAGUGGGGGAUAGCCCGGCGAAAGCCGGAUUAAUACCGCAUACGAUCUAUGGAUGAAAGCGGGGGACCUUCGGGCCUCGCGCUAUAGGGUUGGCCGAUGGCUGAUUAGCUAGUUGGUGGGGUAAAGGCCUACCAAGGCGACGAUCAGUAGCUGGUCUGAGAGGACGACCAGCCACACUGGGACUGAGACACGGCCCAGACUCCUACGGGAGGCAGCAGUGGGGAAUUUUGGACAAUGGGCGAAAGCCUGAUCCAGCAAUGCCGCGUGUGUGAAGAAGGCCUUCGGGUUGUAAAGCACUUUUGUCCGGAAAGAAAUCCUUGGUUCUAAUAUAGCCGGGGGAUGACGGUACCGGAAGAAUAAGCACCGGCUAACUACGUGCCAGCAGCCGCGGUAAUACGUAGGGUGCGAGCGUUAAUCGGAAUUACUGGGCGUAAAGCGUGCGCAGGCGGUUUGCUAAGACCGAUGUGAAAUCCCCGGGCUCAACCUGGGAACUGCAUUGGUGACUGGCAGGCUAGAGUAUGGCAGAGGGGGGUAGAAUUCCACGUGUAGCAGUGAAAUGCGUAGAGAUGUGGAGGAAUACCGAUGGCGAAGGC
This 645-nucleotide ribosomal RNA is filed under the name uncultured beta proteobacterium. RNAcentral's name for it is "bacterial SSU rRNA". It matches the Rfam family "Bacterial small subunit ribosomal RNA", at positions 81 to 722 of the family's 1533-position model. Lineage: Bacteria; Pseudomonadati; Pseudomonadota; Betaproteobacteria. The record is from RNAcentral.